GACGAACCGUGCGAACGUUAUUCGGAAUCAUUGGGCUUAAAGGGCGCGUAGGCGGGCGACCGCGUCGAGUGCUGAAAUCCCCCCGGCUCAACCGGGGAACGGGCCUCGAAACGGGUCGCCUCGAGGCGAGGAGAGGGACCCGGAACGGUCCCGGGUAGGAGCGGUGGAAAUGACGUUGAGAUCGGACGGAACGCCGACGGCGAAAGCAAGGUCCUGGACUCGUACUGACGCUGAGGCGCGAAAGCCAGGGGGAGCGAACGGG
This 262-nucleotide ribosomal RNA is filed under the name uncultured bacterium. RNAcentral's name for it is "partial 16S ribosomal RNA". It matches the Rfam family "Bacterial small subunit ribosomal RNA", at positions 524 to 776 of the family's 1533-position model. The record is from RNAcentral.